This 451-nucleotide ribosomal RNA is filed under the name uncultured bacterium. RNAcentral describes it as "bacterial SSU rRNA". It matches the Rfam family "Bacterial small subunit ribosomal RNA", at positions 328 to 793 of the family's 1533-position model. The record is from RNAcentral.
CUUCCAGACUCCUACGGGAGGCAGCAGUGGGGGAUAUUGGACAAUGGGGGGAACCCUGAUCCAGCGACGCCGCGUGAGUGAAGAAGUAUUUCGGUAUGUAAAGCUCUGUCAGCAGGGAAGAAAGAAAUGACGGUACCUGACCAAGAAGCCCCGGCUAACUACGUGCCAGCAGCCGCGGUAAUACGUAGGGGGCAAGCGUUAUCCGGAAUUACUGGGUGUAAAGGGAGCGUAGACGGUUAAGUAAGUCUGGAGUGAAAUGCCGGGGCUUAACCCCGGAACUGCUUUGGAAACUGUGCAGCUAGAGUGCAGGAGAGGUAAGUGGAAUUCCUAGUGUAGCGGUGAAAUGCGUAGAUAUUAGGAGGAACACCAGUGGCGAAGGCGGCCUGCUGGACUGUAACUGACGUUGAGGCUCGAAAGCGUGGGGAGCAAACAGGAUUAGAUACCCGCGUAC